UAGAAAAGAUGCCUUUUUAUUUCUCUACUC
Molecule: non-coding RNA, 30 nt
Filed under: Mus musculus (house mouse)
Lineage: Eukaryota; Metazoa; Chordata; Mammalia; Rodentia; Muridae
Source: RNAcentral